UGCAGUCGAACGAGAAGCUAUUCUUCGGGAUAGUGGACAGUGGCGAACGGGUGCGUAACGCGUGGGAAAUUACCGUAAAGUCUGGGACAACAGUUGGAAACGACUGCUAAUACCGGAUAAGUCCUAAGGGAUAAAGCUUAAUGUGCUUUACGAUAUGCCCGCGUUAGAUUAGCUAGUUGGUGAGGUAAGAGCUCACCAAGGCGACGAUCUAUAGCUGGUUUGAGAGGAUGAUCAGCCACACUGGGACUGAGACACGGCCCAGACUCCUGCGGGAGGCAGCAGUGGGGAAUAUUGGACAAUGGGGGCAACCCUGAUCCAGCAAUGCCGCGUGUGUGAAGAAGGCCUUAGGGUUGUAAAACACUUUCAACUGAGAAGAUGAUGACGGUAUCAGUAUAAGAAGCUCCGGCUAACUCCGUGCCAGCAGCCGCGGUAAUACGGAGGGAGCUAGCGUUGUUCGGAAUUACUGGGCGUAAAGAGCACGUAGGCGGCUUGACGCGUCAGAGGUGAAAUCCCAGGGCUUAACCCUGGAACUGCCUUUGGUACGGUCAGGCUAGAAUGUCGUAGAGGUUAGCGGAAUUCCAAGUGUAGAGGUGAAAUUCGUAGAUAUUUGGAAGAACACCAGUGGCGAAGGCGGCUAACUGGGCGACGAUUGACGCUGAGGUGCGAAAGUGUGGGUAGCGAACGGGAUUAGAUACCCCGGUAGUCCACACCGUAAACGAUGAGUGCUAGCUGUUGGAGCUUUAGGGUUUCAGUGGCGCAGUUAACGCAUUAAGCACUCCGCCNGGGGAGUACGAUCGCAAGANUAAAACUCAAAGGNAUUGACGGGGNNCCGCACAAGC
RNAcentral lists this ribosomal RNA (839 nucleotides) under uncultured bacterium. RNAcentral's name for it is "bacterial SSU rRNA". It matches the Rfam family "Bacterial small subunit ribosomal RNA", at positions 56 to 930 of the family's 1533-position model. The record is from RNAcentral.